Molecule: long non-coding RNA, 722 nt
Organism: Antechinus flavipes (yellow-footed antechinus)
Lineage: Eukaryota; Metazoa; Chordata; Mammalia; Dasyuromorphia; Dasyuridae
Exons: 2
Source: RefSeq, a predicted model, not a curated record
GGAAACUGAGACUUCAGAGAGAGGGAAGCCGUGAUUGAGAUGGAAGAGAAAGACUGAUACAGGAAGCUGGCAGGAAAUGUGGGGGAAGAGAUUGUGGGGGGAAAGGAGUGAUGGAGAGACAGGAGAAGAAACACCAGGAAGGAAGAACAAGAGGAAGAAGAGGAGCAAGAGAGAGAACAGAAAAAGAGGUCCACGUGGGAAGGAAGGUUUGGAGCUCCCUAUGGUCUCAAAUGUAGUAUGGAGGAGCAGGUCAUCAGAGGCAGGCAGAAGGUAAGAGGACCUCAGUGGAUAGCCGGAUGUGAUGGGAGACAAGCAUGGGAAGGGGGAAGACAGGAUUAGAGGUAUCUAUAGGGGAAGAGUGGAGGGAUAAAUUGUAGACAGAGGUUCAGGCUGGGUCUUAAAUGUUGGAAACAAGAUGUUCCUAUCUUCUUACAGAGAUCUGAGGACUGGGUGACAUCAGUCUUAUAAAUGGUGGCAAGUUGCAGCUUGCUGUGACUUCCUCCUGGAAACCUUUCAAUCCAUCCUGAUGCCCCAUUCUGUCUUUCCAGACCCAUUCAGAUCUGCAUUGUUGCCUUCUUUCAAUUGCCUGGUCUCUUCUCCUAAGUUCUGUGAGCUCCUGGAUGGGAGGAGCCGUCCUACUUAUUCUUGAUUUCCCAAAGCAUAAUCAGGACUAGACACACAGUGGGGAUUCCCAGCGACUGAGGAUGGAUUCCUGGUGAUUG